This is a non-coding RNA of Oryza glaberrima (African rice), 159 nucleotides long. Lineage: Eukaryota; Viridiplantae; Streptophyta; Magnoliopsida; Poales; Poaceae. The record is from Rfam.
AUGCACCGUGCUAACCCCGGGCUUGUCGGACUGGAAUCCUUUGAACAAUGAAGCCCCAAUGAGGCAAUGACUGUGCUAUAUCCACCAUGCCAUUCAGUGUUGCAGGUCAUGAUGCUGUGAGCUCGUGAUUGUGUCUGUGUCAGCGUAAUGGAUACAUUC